GCAGUCGAACGAUGAUGCCCAGCUUGCUGGGCGGAUUAGUGGCGAACGGGUGAGUAAUACGUGAGUAACCUGCCCUUGACUCUGGGAUAAGCCUGGGAAACUGGGUCUAAUACUGGAUACUACCUCUUACCGCAUGGUGGGUGGUGGAAAGGGUUUUACUGGUUUUGGAUGGGCUCACGGCCUAUCAGCUUGUUGGUGGGGUAAUGGCUCACCAAGGCGACGACGGGUAGCCGGCCUGAGAGGGUGACCGGCCACACUGGGACUGAGACACGGCCCAGACUCCUACGGGAGGCAGCAGUGGGGAAUAUUGCACAAUGGGCGGAAGCCUGAUGCAGCGACGCCGCGUGAGGGAUGACGGCCUUCGGGUUGUAAACCUCUUUCAGUAGGGAAGAAGCGAGAGUGACGGUACCUGCAGAAGAAGCGCCGGCUAACUACGUGCCAGCAGCCGCGGUAAUACGUAGGGCGCAAGCGUUGUCCGGAAUUAUUGGGCGUAAAGAGCUCGUAGGCGGUUUGUCGCGUCUGCUGUGAAAGCCCGGGGCUCAACCCCGGGUCUGCAGUGGGUACGGGCAGACUAGAGUGCAGUAGGGGAGACUGGAAUUCCUGGUGUAGCGGUGAAAUGCGC
RNAcentral lists this ribosomal RNA (622 nucleotides) under bacterium 86-L049658-122-015-F11. RNAcentral describes it as "bacterial SSU rRNA". It matches the Rfam family "Bacterial small subunit ribosomal RNA", at positions 57 to 691 of the family's 1533-position model. The record is from RNAcentral.